GAGGAUCAAAGAAUUGCGUAAAGAUACUCGUAAAGAAGGUCAAGUUACGAGAAACAUUGUAUGCCAUUGUAGGAGGCAGAGGUUUAACAACUGUGUCAAUGCUGAAGACACGUUGAAGAAACUGGAAGUUACGUUGGAAGCUGUAACGAAGUUCAGGAUCAAUUUCAAGUGAAUCAUCUGCUUCAUUGUCUUUGGAAUUCACGGUUUUUUUACCAGGAACGUGCAUAGUGGAUGUUUUACCUGGUUGGCUAGUGACUUUGAGCCUUGCGUCUUUGAACUUUUCAUCUUGUUCUUGGUCUACCCUCCAUGGUGCUGACGCUAACAGCUCUUUC
RNAcentral lists this unclassified non-coding RNA (332 nucleotides) under Hevea brasiliensis (rubber tree). Lineage: Eukaryota; Viridiplantae; Streptophyta; Magnoliopsida; Malpighiales; Euphorbiaceae. The record is from RNAcentral.